CCUACGGGAGGCUGCAGUGAGGAAUAUUGGUCAAUGGACGAGAGUCUGAACCAGCCAAGUAGCGUGAAGUAUGACUGCCCUAUGGGUUGUAAACUUCUUUUAUAUGGGAAUAAAAUGUUCCACGUGUGGGAUUUUGUAUGUACCAUAUGAAUAAGGAUCGGCUAACUCCGUGCCAGCAGCCGCGGUAAUACGGAGGAUCCGAGCGUUAUCCGGAUUUAUUGGGUUUAAAGGGAGCGUAGGUGGAUUGUUAAGUCAGUUGUGAAAGUUUGCGGCUCAACCGUAAAAUUGCAGUUGAAACUGGCAGUCUUGAGUACAGUAGAGGUGGGCGGAAUUCGUGGUGUAGCGGUGAAAUGCUUAGAUAUCACGAAGAACUCCGAUUGCGAAGGCAGUUCACUGGACUGCAACUGACACUGAGGCUCGAAAGUGUGGGUAUCAAACAGGAUUAGAUACCCGUGUAGUC
This 460-nucleotide ribosomal RNA is filed under the name uncultured bacterium. RNAcentral's name for it is "partial 16S ribosomal RNA". It matches the Rfam family "Bacterial small subunit ribosomal RNA", at positions 338 to 795 of the family's 1533-position model. The record is from RNAcentral.